Molecule: long non-coding RNA, 44371 nt
Filed under: Medicago truncatula (barrel medic)
Lineage: Eukaryota; Viridiplantae; Streptophyta; Magnoliopsida; Fabales; Fabaceae
Description: long non-coding RNA (MTRU_LNC005392)
Source: RNAcentral
GGUGGUGGAACUGUGUUAGCAGAAACAACAACAUCAUGCUUAGUGGCCAUAUCAGAGUUUUGUGUUGCAUAGUAGCAAGUUUCUGAGGGACCUUCCCAUUGGCAGCAUUAAGUUUAGAGAAAUUUUGGAUGUCAUGCCCUAAGGCCUUGCAGUGAGAACAAAACAGAGGGUAUUUCUCAUAUUGCACCCCUAUAGUCAAGGCAUGACCAUCCCUUUCCACAAUUAUGGAUUCAAACAGCUUCUCAGACAUGUUGACAUCCACUAAGAUUCUAGCAAAGAGGCCAAAACGCCUGGUUUGGGUUGCCUCAUCAAUGAUGAGAGGAGUUCCCAAACUAGAAGCAAUUUCAAACAAAGUUUGCUUUCCCCAAUACUCUUGUGGGAGUUGCAUUAAUCUGACCCAAACUUGUGCAUGUGUUUGUGCCUAUGCCCUAGGUGCGAAAUCCUUUGUCCAACAAAAGAAUCUUAGAAACCCAGGUUUCAAAUUCAGAGCACCAAUUGCCCAAACCUGUUUCAUAUCUUCAAUUGAACUAAAAUGGAAUUCGAAAAAACCCUUACCAAGAGAAAUCAAGCUCCAAUUCUACAGAUUAGGCCAGAGAUUGUGGAGUUUGGCCUUUAGAGCUUGUGUAGUUAUCGGUGAAUCUCCUUUGUGGAGAGUCAAACGGCCAUGGAGGUUGCAUUGGCACGAAACUAAUCCUGCUUCAUACGCGGCCUGUGAGAUCUUAACACGCGCUGAAUCGCCCAUAAUCACCUUCGGAGGAAGAUUUGCCAUAAAAUUGUUAUCGGACGAAGCACCAGAGGAAGAGUUGGAGAGUGCCUGAGCAAAGGACUUCCCAGAUUCCGGCGAUUGUUGUUUCUUUGUCAGAGGAGCAUCCAAAGAAGCCAUGGGCACACCAUGAUUCAAGGAGAACAGAGAAAUAGGAGGUUCACCGUAGAGGAACCAACGAAGGUGAGAACAGUCCAAAGAGGUGGAGAAGAGGAGAAUCUGUGUAGAUCUGAGAAAUCACCGUGAAGGUGAAGAAAACGCCGUGAAAUAGACGUAGAAAGGUGGGAGAAACAGCGUCGGAGCUACGCUGGUGGUGGUUUAGGUCGCCGGAAAAAAAAAACGGUUACGGUGCACUCUCUCAGCGAGAGAGAAAAUUAGAAAAAUCAUUUUCGUUUAUCAAAGGUGCUUGAGUUAGAGAAUAAUUCUUAAUUGAACAUGUUUGUAAGUUAUUUCUAUAAACUAUAACUUAACUUAUUAAUUAGCAUUACAACAUAGAGUUUCUACGCGAGUUUUUUUUUCUUUCUUUUCUGCCCCUAUCACCAAAAAAUUGAUAUGUUUGCUCCUAGUUCAAUGCCUUUGUUCUUCAUUUAACUUGGCAAACAUAACCAUUUUUUUUCAACUUCAAGCUUUUUCUGCAUCUCCUGUGUGUUUUACGAAUGAAAUGGAGAACAUACCUUUUUUUAAUAUCUUCUUUUGUGUUCUAUAUUUCAAAUGGUGAACAGUCUUUUUUUUAUUUUUUUUUAUUUAUAUUUCAAAUGACAACAUGCCUUAAGUUUGUAUUUUUCGUCUUUUUUGUUUUAAUGAAAGAAAAAGGUUGUUUUUUAAUUAAAAAAUUCUAACUAAAAAAAGAAAAAAGCCAAGUAAAAAAAUUAAUAAGAAUUAAUGUUCGCCAUUUUGAGUGGCAAACAGCUAAUAAAUUUGAAAAAAAAAAUGUGUUCACCAUUAUGAAUAGCAAACAUCAAAAUAGAAAUAAAAAAAAAAGAAAUAAGCAUGUUGGUUAAUUCACAACAAGAACAUGCAGUUGAAAAAUUGUGUAUGUUCGCCAAAUGAAAUGGAGAACAAGGGCAAUUGCAUCAAUACUUUUGAAUAGAGGACAGACAUAUCAUUUUUUUGUGAGAGGACAAGGAAAUAAAAAAUUUCUUUUAACGCAUCCCUCAAUGAUUUUACUUGUUUAACUAAUAUCUUAAUUCCUUGUCAGAAUUAUAUCGUGUUCUGAUUCGAUCAAGAAUAGAUAAUAGUAAUAUAAUAGAGCACCCAUACCCAUAUCUCUAAUGAGUCUAUCUUAGCCAACGAAUUAAGACAUAAUUUAAGAGAAAGAAAACACGAGAUAAUCACGUUUCUUAAAUUAUUAUUUCAUCUUCACUUUUUCCAUUUAUACAUAGUGGAUUGUGAAUCAUAACCAACACAUUCUGGAGCUAGCUAGCUAGUUUCAAAAUUGUUAACAUGGAGUUCCUAAUUACACUCAUUACCACUUUUUUACUCUUGUUAAUGCCUGCAAUCACUUCCUCCCAAUAUUUAGGAAACAACCUACUCACUAAUCGAAAGAUUUUCCAAAAACAAGAAACCUUAACAUCUUACGCUGUCAUAUUUGAUGCUGGUAGCACUGGUACUCGUGUCCAUGUUUACCAUUUUGACCAGAACUUAGAUCUUCUUCACAUUGGCAAUGAUAUUGAGUUUGUUGACAAGGUGAGAUUUUAAAAAAUUACAUUAAUUAAUUAAUAUCUCUUAGUAGUACAUUUUUUGACAAGUCUUCAUUAAUUAAUUGUUGUGAUGUAGAUCAAACCAGGUUUGAGUGCAUAUGCGGAUAAUCCUGAACAAGCAGCAAAAUCUCUCCUUCCACUUUUGGAGGAAGCAGAAGAUGUGAUUCCUGAGGAUAUGCACCCCAAAACACCCCUUAGGCUUGGGGUGAGUUUUCUAGUCUCUCAUCCAUUUUACUAUUUCUCACCUGUUAUGUUUUUUUGAGUGAAUAUCAAAAAUGAAUUUUCGACAUCGGAAUCCUCUUUAUUUAUCUCAAUUACAAUAUCUCAACCAUCAAAAUAAAUCUUCUUAUUUAUUUGUAAGUGAAUCUAGUUUUCUCUCAUGUUUGAUGAUUGAGACGUUGCAGUAUAAAAAAAACAUGGACUUUCCUUUGGUUGUUCCUCAUCUUCAUAAAAUCUUUGUGCGUAUAAAAUAUUCUUAAUUACGGUAUAGUGUAAGAUCUUUCUUCUCAAUGACACCUCAUGGAUAUGGGUUGUGGUAACUCAACCCUAUGUGGCGGCUAGUGAGUCUCAUCUAGACUAUCCAAUUAAGACCAAACUUUGAGUUUGAUAUUAUAAAUAAAAUAAAAAGUCAAAAUCGAUAUUAAAAUCUAAAUUGUCUGAUCUUCAUCCAAAGGUUUAUAUAUGUUUACAAUCACAAUGUAGACAAUCCAAAUCUAUCAAUUAUAUUUUGAUUUUCAUCGUUGUAUAGGUUGCGAGAUAUGACUUCUUUUAAAUAGGGAUUAGAACAUUUAAGAAUUUUUAAGACUUUGAAAAUAUAAAUUUUAUGUUUCAAAAUUUACAAUGAGAACAAUUGAAUAAUAUUGUUAUAAUUUAUCUUUUAAAAUUUAAAAUUGAAAAAAUAUAAUAAAGAAAGUUAAAAUAAUUGUUGAGUUAAAGUGUCAGUAGUUAAGUUCUAAAUUAACUAUGAACGAAUAUAUUAUUAGAGAUAUAAAAGAUGUGACAUAUUCUUAAUUUUUUAAAGUUUUCGUAGACCAGAGAUGAAAGGUUUCUCCCUUUUGUAAAGAUUAAUAUUAUAAACAAUGAAUGAAAAGAGUUAGUUUGAAAAUAUAAGAUCGAUAGGUGGAUCUUGUAAAAAGAGAAAAUCAAAUAGUGAAAAUAGAAAGUUAGAAGAGAAAUGAUAUUUGUACAAUUAUUUGUGACAAAUUUUUGACAAUUUUCUCUCUCAUACUCACGUUAUUCUCUUAUUCUCUUUCUUCCUUUUUCUCUCUCCGUUAUUUUUGACCAAUAAAAAUAGAAAAAAAAGAAAUUGUCACAAAAGUUGUAUCAAAUAAUUGUUCAAAUAUCACAAGUUAAAAACACACACUUUAACAAAUAAUAUGAGGAAAAUUCCACCUGACUACUUUUUUUAGUAUUUCCUUUCCCGCAUUAAUUUGCAUUCAAGGCUGAUAUUUGUACGGUGUCUGUCUAUACCGGUGGUUACCUUUUGGAAUUCAAACUCUAGUUAUUAACAUACUAACACACUAACAAACUAACAUUUCACUAUAAAAAAUGUAGAGACCCUAGCUAUACUAAUAACAUAUUUAAGUCCCUUUAGAAAAAAACAUAUUUAAGCCCAACGCACAUAAAUGUUCAAUUGGUUAAACAUGUAAACGACAGCUUUAGUACAUUAACAUCUUUUCCAAAUGUAUAUGAUAAUAAUGCAGGCAACCGCAGGUUUGAGGCUUUUGAAUGGGGAUGCUGCCGAAAAGAUAUUGCAAGCGGUAACCAUAAUUAAGCAUUAUUUGCUAUCUAAUUGUUCAAGAUUUUAGCAACUAUACCUUAAUUGGGUUUCAAAUGCCUAAAGCUUUUGUUUUCUAGACAAGGAAUAUGUUCAGUAACAGAAGUACCCUCAACGUUCAAAGUGAUGCAGUUUCUAUUAUAGAUGGAACCCAAGAAGGUUCUUAUAUGUGGGUACGUAUGAUUUAUAAAAGGUUUAAUGAUGUGUUUCAUCCUUGCAAUUAGGUGUCAUUUAAAAAUUAGUCGCUGUAAUCGCUAAUCCUGACAAUUUACCCUUGCAUUGUUUAAUCAUUUAAAAUUUCGUCCUUUGACCAACUUAAUCACUACCAAGUCAUCAAAUUAGCAAAAUGGCAUAGGAAUGGACAAAAAUACCCUCGACUUUAUUAUGAGAAGAAGAUGAAGAUAGGGGUAAAAAUGUCAUUUCACGAAUGGAUGACGAGGGUAUUUUUGUCCAUUCCCAUGUCAUUUUGCUAAUUUGAUGUCGUGACAGUGAUUAAGUUGGUCAAAUGACGAAAUUUUAAAUGAUUAAACAAUGUAAGAGUAAAUUGUCAGGAUUAGCGAUUACAGGGACUAAUUUUUAAAUGACGCCUAAUUGCAAGGACGAAACACAUCAUUAAGCCUUUAUAAAAUUACAUUUUCUUUAUGGAUUUUGUUUUUUGGCAGAAUAUAUUGUUAAUAAGUGUUUGUACUAUAUAUUUUCAUUAUAAUUGUGUGGUAUUUUGUGCCCUGGAUUUAAAUUGGCAACCUUGUCAUCUUUAUAGGUGACAGUUAACUACAUAUUGGGGAAUUUGGGAAAAAGCUUCACAAAAACAGUGGGAGUAAUUGACCUUGGAGGUGGUUCAGUUCAAAUGACAUAUGCUGUGUCAAAGAAAACAGCUAAAAAUGCUCCAAAAGUUGCAGAUGGAGAGGAUCCAUAUAUAAAGAAGCUUGUACUCAAGGGAAAGCAAUAUGACCUCUAUGUUCAUAGGUUUUCUUCUAAUUCUUUUUUCUUUUUUAUUGAAGAGUUUUUUUUUUUUUUUUUUUUGUAAUUCUUGAUGUAUAUAUGAAUGUACAAUGAGUAAUUAAUUUAUUAUAUUAAGGUCUUAAUUUCUUUCUUGUAGUUACUUGCGCUUUGGCAAAGAAGCAACUCGAGCACAGGUUUUGAAUGCAACUAAUGGAUCUGCUAACCCUUGCAUUUUACCUGGAUUUAAUGGUAAUUAAGCGUGUGAAAAGCUUCAAAUUUCAAGUACAUUUUUAUAUAUACUGCUAUUUUAUUUUGAUGACCAUAAAGAAUACAAAUAACAAAGGAAUUACUUUUUUUUUCUCUUCAAAGGGACCUUUACAUAUUCAGGAGUGGAGUACAAGGCUUUUUCCCCUUCUUCUGGCUCAAACUUUAAUGAAUGCAAAGAGAUAAUUCUUAAGGUUCUUAAAGUGAAUGAUCCAUGUCCCUAUUCGAGUUGCACUUUCAGUGGAAUAUGGAAUGGUGGAGGAGGGAGUGGACAAAAGAAACUUUUUGUUACUUCAGCUUUCGCUUACCUAACUGAAGAUGUAAAAUACUAUUGCUUUACAUGAUAGUGCGGUGAUUAUGUUGUUUUAAUGUUAUUCUUCAUGCAUUUCUAAUGGAAUUUUUUUAUUUUUUUAGGUUGGUAUGGUUGAGCCAAAUAAACCUAAUUCCAUACUUCAUCCAAUAGAUUUCGAAAUUGAAGCUAAACGAGCUUGUGCAUUAAACUUUGAGGAUGUCAAAUCCACUUAUCCACGACUUACAGAAGCAAAACGUCCAUAUGUAUGUAUGGAUCUCUUAUACCAGCAUGUGUUGCUCGUUCAUGGAUUUGGUAGGUUUCUUGCACUAUGAAAUAAAUACUAUUUAAAAAAAAAAAAUUCUAUCAUAAGUACAACUCAAAUGGUAAAAAAUACAAAACUUUUGAUAUAUUAAGGCGCGAGUUCAAACCCGCACUAGUACUAUAUCUACACUUAGUAUGUCUCGGUGUUGCUGUCAGGCUAUUUGAAACCAAAAAAGCAAUUUUACAUGGAUCAUACCUUUAUCUAAGAAAUUGUUGGUCAAAUGUUUCGAUUAUAAUGAUUGUCUUGUAUUUGUUUGCAGGCUUAAGUCCACGAAAAGAGAUUACAGUAGGUGAAGGAAUUCAAUAUCAGAAUUCUGUUGUGGAAGCUGCAUGGCCUCUAGGUACUGCUGUGGAAGCUAUAUCAACGUUACCUAAGUUUAAGCGAUUAAUGUAUUUUAUUUAAGCUUUUAGAGAUGACAAGAUAUUUCAGUAACAGCUAACUUUAUCAAAAAUUAAAUAAAACUGGCGCAUUUUGUCUUUCAUUUCUUACAUCACAUACUUAUAUUGAUCUUGUGCAUUUGGAUCUCCAUGUUCUUAUGUUGAGUUCGUUUAUUCUUAAAAACGGUUAAUUAUGAGAAAAUGAAAAUGAAAGUAUGUUUGUUUUUGUCACUGAAAAAAUCUAUUAGCUAAUGUGAUAAAUUCAGUAGAUAAUUUUUAACUGAUUUUUGGCAAAAAGCUGAGCUAGAAAUUAAAAAAAAGAUGUCUUUUAAAGUUUGAUUUCCCAUUUACGUAUAUAACCUUAGCCCAAACAGUUAGAUGCUUUGGAUAGUUCCAUUAGUAAUGAGAGUGAAUUGAAUUAUUAUUGGUAAAGCAUGUUGACGCAUAACGGAUGCAAGAAUUAGCAAGAGUUAAACCUAAGAGCUAAACAAACAAGUUGCAAGCAACAAAUAUGUCAAAUAAGGGUUUUCGGAAUCCACCAUAAUUGAGAAAAUUCUCGAUAAUUUUAUUGAAUAUGAAAAAUUGUCUCCCAAGCCACGAAAGUUUAGUUUAAAUACUAGAGAAAUAACAAAACAUAAUGGGCCGAAAAUAACAAACUAAAAUAAAACCGAAAAAUAAUAAAUUUGCUGAAAUAAUACAAAUGUGGUUUUGGGCCUUCGGAUGAUUUUGAACGCCUAAAUUCACCCAUACGUGAACUCCGGGGCUUUCCAAAAAGGUAUAAUCAUCAAUCCGACAUCGGAUGCUAAAUCUACACUAUUCUCAUUGAACCUUUUUUGCACGUCACUUCAUCUUCGAUACGUGCAGCCAAUUUGCUUACAUCACAUAUAAGAGUUCCAAUUGCAAAAGUUCAAACUAAUUUGAUUUUACCCUCACCUUGUGUUAGGAAGCUAAAUCCUAUCACUAACAAAACUAUAGAAAACUAGGAUUCUAAGCUAAAAGAACAAGAGAAUAGAAAUCAGAAAGAAAGUUCCAUGGUUCAGCUGUUAGAAAGUUCCAUGGUUCAGCUGUUAGACAAAGUAAAAGAUUAUUCAUUGUGGUGGCCUAAGGCUCAUAAGGCUGUUUUUGUUUUUGGUGACCAAUUGUGGUGGUCGAGUCCUUUGUCUUGUUUAGGCAUUGGCUGAUCUCUUGGUGUAACUUUGACUGAACUGCUUGUUCUUUUUUAGUGGUCUUUUUGGUAAACCUUAUGCUGAGAGGACUGCUAUAGCACUCUUAAUAUAAUCCAAAUUUGUCUGUUAAAAAAAAAAAAAAAAAAAACUAUCUAAGAGAAAAUAAAAUAAUUUUUCAUUCAUUUUACUCCAUUUCCCUAAUGAGACAAUACACUCAAUAUAUAUAAUAAAUAGAUCAUAAGUUAUUGUGGCCCUACGUCUCCCCAAAUUUAAUGUGAAUUUUUUCUGCCUUAGCAUGCUCCUUGCCAUGUCUAGUACACUUAUAUUUCUUCUUUUUGUAAGUCGAUUAUGUUAAGACCUGUUGGGUGUUUUUACUUCAUGUAUGAUUCCUUGACUUGAACAAUAAGCCUCAACUCUCUUGAGGUGUACUCCAGACCUCCAUCAAAUCUGAGAAUCUUCAGCAUCUUCCCACUUUGCUUCAAAUUUCAAGAGAAAGAAACGUAUGAACAAGAAACUAAUUGCUAAAAUACGUCAAAAAAACAAUAAACAACAAAAUGUGUAAAUGGUAGUAUUCCAACCAAACAACAAAAUGUAUGAACAUUACAUAUAUCAUUUGAAUGACUAGUAAGAUUGAAAUCAUGUGAAGAAAUGAGUGAACUCCUUAAUUUGAAGAUGAAACACAAGAACUAAUGCAUGCAUGGCACAUGUCUUAUCAAACUUAUAAACUAUCUUAACCAACUUCAAUCUUUCCUUGCACGUUGUUUCUUAAGUAGUUAGUUGAAUGCAACAUUGCCAAUUCUUGAAAUUCCAACCCAUGGUGACCUUUUCAAACGUGACAUGUCUGACCUUCGAAGAUUUACUCUUUGAAUGUAGCUUUUACUCGAAUAAAUCAUCUCAAGAAUAUUUAAAACUGUUUGUUUAUGCACAUGAAAAAAAUCUCAUUCAACUUACACCAUCGGUUUCAAAACUAAAUUUUGAACUUUUCAUCAUAUAACAAAGUGUUGUUCUGUGGUAAAAACUUUUAACUAAAGAAAAUUAUGUGGUGAAAACAUAGUGUAUGUUUAGUUCUACGAUGAUAAAAAUUGAUUUCGAGUGAAUUAAUUUUAGAAAAUUAUUUGUUUAAAAGUAAGCUGAAUGUAAAUGAUUUAUGUUUAGAUAUGUUUAUGUAGUAAAACUGAGUUGAACAAUAAAUUUAAGUCUAAAAGUAAAUUAUAAAAUUAAAAACUACAAAUUCUAACUUUAAAUAAAAUCAAUUAAAAAUACAAAAUUAAUUCCACUCAAUUUUUUAAAAAAAACUACAAAUUCUCAAUUUAAAUAAAAUCAAUUAAAAAGACAAAAUUAAUUCUACUCAAUUUUUUUUGUACAAAUUCUACUCAAAAUUAAAUAUUAAAUAUACAUGUCAAAAUCAAUUUUAAAUUUCUACGAUCAAAAAAUGGAACCAAAUAUGCAUCCGGUGUUUAACCUUAAGUUUAAAAUCUCAAUGCAACUACAAAAAGAGAAUUUAAUUUUUUUUUUUGAUGUGACGGUUUAUACGAGCAACUCUUCCACAGGCACAAACCUAAAUGAAAAUCAUUUGGACACACACAUUUAAAAAGUAUAAAUAAAUAAAUAAAUUAGUUACAUUAUUUUUUACUUUUAUCUCUUAAUUUUGUUUAUCUAUGAAUGUGUAUCUAAGAUCACACCCAAUGGUGAGGUCGUAACCAUUUAAUAUACACCCCCAUUACGAAAGGGAAAAAAAUUUGGGGUCUUAUAGGACCUAGGGUCUCACAUUAGCAUCUUAUUCUUAACUUUUCAUUAAAUUAAUUAGUUUGCAAUGUUUGUUUGGUAUGCUAUGUUGACUCAUUUAAAACGUUUGUUAGAGGUGUUGCAUUUGAGUGAUUGAAUGCGUAUUAGGUACUAUUAUUUAAAAAUUUACAAAUAAAUGAUAUGUACACGUGAGACUUGUUUAAGUAUUCAAAAUUGAAUAUCUACAUUGCGGAUGCUUUAGCUGUUUUUUAUUUGUGUUUCUGACGGACCAAACUUUCUCCAUAUAUACCAUGUGCACCAAUUAACAAAGGACAAAAUACAUCUUUUUCUACCGGGAAAGACAAAAUACUCCUUAUCAACUUAAGCUGGAAGUAGAAACCUAUGGUCAAUAUGCAACUUUGAUAAAAUACCACAAAUAUAUAAAUAUCCAAAGAUAGGUGCAUUUCCUCGUGAAUCACGCCUAUGAAAACAAUUGUUUUUCAAACAUAGGUGCAUUACCUCGUGUAUUUUUUGUAUGAUUAUUUAAUUCUUUUUUUAUAAAGGUGUAUGAUUAUUAACUUAAAUAAUUGUAAUUUCUUAAAAUUUAUAUUUUUUAAAAACUCUUUAUAACCAUUAAAAUUAGAUUUUAAAUUAAGAAUUAUAUGAAUAUGUGCAUAAAUUUUGUCCUUCUUUUUGUACAAACAAGACAAUAGCUAAUAUCAUUGACAUAUUAGUUUUGUGUUUAUUUAAAAAUAAUAUGUUAGAUCACUUUUUUUCUAAAGUUAAUAUCAAUCAAAUAUAUAUAUAGAUUUUUAAAUGGACUAAUUAAUAAAUAGGGGUACAAUACUUCCCCUCUCCUCUCCUCCUUAAACAAAAAAAAUAAAUAAAUACCUCCCCUCCCCAAAUAAACUAAAGAUACAUUACUUUCAAAAAUGUCAAUCUCUUACCUAAAAAUAAACAUAUGAUUAGUAAGGUCAGAUUUGCAGCAUAAUAUUUUAAUCAAAUUGGAAAUACUCCUUCAACUCCUCAAACUAAUUAUAUAUAUGCUAGUUGUUUUAUAACCGGUUUCAAAAUAGUUUCCCUUCCCACUAUCUCUUCCUACAACAAGCAUGGAGUUUCUAAUUAAACUCAUCACAUUUCUACUCUUCUUGAUGCCUACAAUCUCUUCCUCCCAAUAUCUUGGAAACAAUAUACUCACCAAUCGUAAAAUAUUUCCAAAACAAGAAACUCUAACCUCGUACGCUGUCGUCUUUGAUGCUGGUAGCACCGGUAGCCGUGUUCAUGUCUACCAUUUUGAUCAGAACUUAGAUCUUCUUCACAUUGGCAACGAUGUUGAGUUUUAUAAUAAGGUUAUUAAUUAAAUAUUACAUCUUGGCUUUACAAGUUUCGUAAGAAAUAAAUAAUAUAUGUUCUUGAAUUAUGGACAGAUUUAUUUAUUUUUUCUUCUUAAAUUACUAUCGUUACUUAAACUUUUGUUAAUGCAUGUAUGAGUUAUAAUAUCUUCAUUGUGUUCAUGUUGUAGACAACACCCGGUUUGAGUGCAUACGCAGAUAAUCCAAAGGAAGCAGCAGAGUCUCUGAUUCCACUUUUAGAGCAAGCAGAAAGAGUGGUUCCUGUUAAUCUGCAACCCAAAACACCCGUUAAGCUUGGGGUGGGUUUUCUAACAAUGUCUUAAUUUUGAUGGUUGACUAUCACUUUUUUAUUUAGAUUAUAACUUUUUUUAGAGGAGAUUACAACUUAAAAUUUAGUAACUUUUUUUGUAAAUUAAUACUAAAAAACCAAAAUUAUUUGUCAUGUUUGUUGUAGAAAACAAUAUUUGUUAAUGUUGAAUCAUUACAGAAAUUUAUUAAGAGAAAAAUAUGAAACUUAUCUUUAUUUCUUUUUUUUUUUUUUUUUAGUACAAAUCUUAUCUUAGGUGUCAAUUAGCUACAGAAAUUUACUUUUUCUAUUAUUAUUUUUUUUGUGUCAAUUAGUCUUGUGAUUAGAAAUUAACCUUUUUAAGAUAAAUAAGUAGAGAAUCAGGAUUUCAAAAUUAGCCUCUGGAUAUAUUAUACGAUAUCUCUAUCAAUUGAGCAAUACUCACCACGACUUUUUACUUCUUAUUUUGGUCAUUAAUUCUCUAGUGUUUUCUUCUAAUAAUAAAACUUUUUUUUAAAAAUUUAUAUGAUAAUGCAGGCAACAGCCGGUUUAAGGCUUUUGGAUGGAAAUUCUUCCGAAUUGAUAUUGGAAGCGGUAAUUGUAUAUAUGAACUUCAUUUCUUAUGUUGUUUAAUGUUUUUAACACUUUUUUGGGUCUUAAAUGUUUACAGCUUUCAUUUCCAUAUCUUAGGUGUCGAGUUUGCUCAAAAAGAGAAGCACGUUUAACGUACAAUCAGAUGCAGUAGGAAUUAUUGAUGGUACACAAGAAGGUUCUUAUUUAUGGGUAUGACAUACACUGAACUAAAAGUGUUGUUUAUAUUCUAUUUUUCUGAUAAUAUAUUUGUGAGUAAAUAGACAAAUUAAUCUUUACAAUUAUUAUAAGUAUUGAUUAAAAUAUUAUUUGGUUUUUGAGAACGAACUAUAAGCAAAAGUGGUAAUUAAAUGGUUAAUGUAUGAGAGAGUAUAAUAUAAACUACAUACAUCAUUGAUUGAAUGAAUCUAAAAGUCAAAAUUUACUUAUAUUAAAAAACGGAGGGAGUAUCUUAUUAAUGAGAAUAUGUUGUUUGGUGAAAAUGAGAAUGUAAUGUGGAAUGAAAUUAAAAACAUUGUUGAAAAUAUUUGUGUUUUACCUUUUUAAUGUUGGAAACAAAAAAUUGUAUUGUCUCGAAAAAAAACCGCACCAAUCGAUCCAACUCAAACCACAUUGGUUUGGUUUGGUUUGGUUCGGAUUGUAUUUUAAAAGUCAACCGAAUCAAACCAAACCGCAUGUUUUUUUAUCUUGCAGUUCGGAUGACUUUUAACCUCAAAACCGAACCAAACUGCACCGCGAACACCCCUAGGUAAAAGGUAGUGAUUUUAGCACGACGUCCAAGAUGUGAAUUUAUUCUUCACAUUAAAUGUUGAAACUUACUAUAAAUACAAUACCCUAAAAAAAUUUCAAUAAUAUCUGUCAAUAAUAACCGAUACAAAUCACACCGCAAAAACCCCUGCUACAUGAUAAAAUUGUUGCAGCGAAACCAUUUUAUUUUAUUUUUGAUAGAGUAGUGGAAACAAUUUGAAAAGUGCUUUCCUAACCUUGCAACAUUUGUGUAGGUGACAAUUAACUAUGUUUUGGGAAACUUGGGAAAAGAUUUUUCAGAGACAGUGGCAGUAGCUGAUCUUGGAGGGGGAUCAGUUCAAAUGGUAUAUGCAGUCUCAAGAGAACAAGCAAAAAAAGCUCCACAAGUACCUCAGGGAGAGGAUCCAUACAUAAAAAAGAUUGUACUUAAAGGAAAGAAAUAUUACCUCUAUGUUCACAGGUUUUAUUCUUAUUCUUGGAUAUAAAUUACCAUUUACCAGUGUGAAAAAAUGUUUAGAUAUAUAUAUGUCUUGCUAAUGUUUAUUUCUUUCAGUUAUUUGCGGUUUGGCAAAGAAGCAUCUCGUGCUGAAAUUUUGAAAGUCACUAAUGGUUCUCCUAAUCCUUGCAUUUUAGCUGGCUAUCAUGGUAAACACACGCAACUUCAUUGAUUUACACAUAUCUUUCUAGCAUAAACCAUUCUUAUAACAUGAACCUUUUUAUUCUGCAAAGGCACAUAUACAUAUUCAGGAGAGGAGUAUAAGGCAUUUUCUCCUGCUUCUGGCUCCAACUUUGAUGAAUGCAAAGAGAUAAUUCUUAAGGCACUUAAAGUGAAUGAUCCAUGUCCUUAUGGGAAAUGUAGUUUUGGUGGGAUAUGGAACGGUGGAGGAGGAAGUGGGCAGAAAACUCUUUAUGUUACAUCAUCAUUUUAUUACGUGCCUACAGGGGUAUGUAUCGAGGAUUUCAUGUCGGAUUUCAUGACAUUCACUCAUUUGAUGACCAUUUGAUCAGAAUAGGCAUUUUUUGAACUGGAUCUUGAUCGAACUUCGACUAAUAUUAUUUGUACACGUGUAGGUUAAUAUUGCUGAUCCAAAUAAGCCCAAUUCCAAAAUUCGUAUCGAGGAUCUGAAAACUGGAGCUGAGCAAGUCUGUAAAACAAAAUAUAAGGAUGCCAAAGCCACAUAUCCACUUAUUUAUGAGGAUAGUCUUCCAUAUGCAUGCUUGGAUCUUAUUUACCAAUAUACAUUGUUUGUUGAUGGAUUUGGUAAGUUUGCAUGCUUGAAAUUGCAUUCACUAUUAUUUUACUGUCAUAUUCAAAUUAAGAUGACAUACUCAAAAAUAGGAGCAUACCUCUAGUAUUCUUAGGCAACCUAAGUUAAUGUCUUUUAAGUUAACAAAAAACAUCUAUUUGUUGACGCAGGCCUAGACCCAUUGCAAGAGAUUACCGUGGCAAAUCAAAUUGAAUAUCAAGAUGCCCUUGUGGAUGCAGCAUGGCCUCUAGGCAAUGCAAUAGAAGCUAUAUCAUCAUUGCCCAAAUUUGAUCCUUUCAUGUACUACUUUAUUUAAGCUUCUAGAAUUAAAUAUGGGAUACUUUAGUGUUAAACACUAAGAGCUGUAUCAUCAACACUCUCUCUAAUACCCACUAUCUUAUUAGUUUAUAUCAUUGUGGUCUGCAUUUUGAAAAUAGAAGACAUACAUUGAUUCCAUUCGACAAAAGAGUGGAUGUUAUACAGGGUGUUCAAACGUAAGUGUUGCCAACAUUCUUUAUAAAAUAAACAUAAAACAUCUAAUUUUUCAUUAAUUUUGUUGCAUAUGGCUCGCUUAUGUUAUGGUUAAAAUAGUAAAGCAGAGCAGUUGUUGCAACAUCAAUCAAAUUUUGCUUUAAAUUAAUCAAUUAUCAAUGGCGUCGACCACGUUGGAGAUCCGAAGACAUGAGUAUUUUAGAUACUUGAAUAUAAUCAUAUGUGUAGACUUUUGUACUUUGUCAUUUUGUGCCAUUAACAUAAAUGUUGUGAAUUUGUUCGUAGAUUCAUCCUUUUUAAUUUUAGCAAAUAUACAACAUUAUUAAUUUAAAUGAAUGAAUAUGAUUUAUUUUUGUAAAAAUAAAAUAAAAAUAAUGUGUAAUGAAACGAAGAUUUUAUGCAGAUCGUCCCAUUGGAGUUGCGGGGAAAUUGUGGAUCUUAUAAUAUAUAUUUCAUCUCUAUGUAAACUUUCCUUUUUGUUCAGAUAAGUAUUCUUCGUUUCUAUGUUAAAAUUUAAUAGGUAAAAUCUCUUAUCUUUUUUUUUUUUAACUUUGUUUCCAUUCUUUUUUUUUAAAUCUAAUUUUUGUGGAAUGAUUGUCAUAAUAUUCUACUCGUUUUUGAAAAAUUUCAUUAAAAAAUAUGAAGGUUAGAUAUGAGAUGACUCGGCAAAUACACAUCUUUAAAUGACUCGACAAAUACACAUUUUUAAAUAGCAUCAUCGUCAAAUAUCACAUCUUUAUAUAACACAUUUUUAAAUCACACAUCUUCAAAUAGUAUAUCUUUAUAUAACACAUUAUUUUCACAUCGUGGAAUAACACAUCAAUUUCACAUCAUCAAAUAAUUCACAAAUCACACUUAAUUAAAUAAUUCCUCAAUUAAUAUCUAACCAAUUCAAAAGAUAUGAUAAUGAAAAUAACAGACAUUUAUUCAUGCUUUUGAUCAAUUGAUAAAAAAAAAAAAAUGAAAAUCAAGUAACAGUUAGAAUAUCACAUGGAAUUUAAAUAAAAUAGACAUGGCAACCAGGAGCGAGCACGGCAAUAUGAAUUGAAUGGAACAACAACGUGAAAGAAACAAGUAGAAAAUAUAUGGGUCACGGCUGACAGUAAGGAUCAAACAACUCUUUAAUUGAAAUUGAAACAGGGAGGCAAGGCAACAUCAAGUAAUUGAUUUGGAUUCGCACGACACAUUUAUGAUUUUCCAACAAUUAAAACUCAAUUUAACAGCUACGAAUUCAUAAACAAUACGACAACAACAAUAAGAAGUAACACGCAGGAGUAAUAAGAUUAAAGUACACAACAAGCAAUUAGAGCACAAAUUUUAAUUUAAACAUAGAUUCAUCAAAUAAGGAAACAACAAAAAAUAACAACCUGUCACUACCCAUAUGUUCAUACAACCUUAUGAUGAAUAUAACUCCCCCCUUACCUCUAGUUUUGCGAAAUUGAUGAUUUCCUACGUUGAAAUCUCUCUAAGUUCUUCUGGCUAUUCCUCUUUGCCUCUUCUCUCCAUAGUCGGUAACCCUUUUUCUCUCAUUCUCUUCUCUAUUUAUAAGCUUUAAUAGAGUUUGUUAUCAAUCUUUUUAUGUUAAUAUAUGUCCUCUAGAUUUGUUACUAAUCUUUUCAUAUUACUAUUUGCACCUCUAUAUUUUGUUACUAUUAUUUCUGUAACUACACUGUCUUGCUAUUCACACUCCCCUCUACUUAAAUCAUUAAAGUACUACUCAUCUCACUAACUACACCUCUUUUCUUCCCAAUUUUACUGAUCCUCCCGUUCUCACUCUAAUUUCUUAUUUUCUCUACAAAAAAAAAAAAAAAAAAACUCUAUUUUCCUUCUAAAUAUUAUUUUCUCUCACUCUUUAAAUGACUAAUCAACCCACUCAUUACCUAUUCUUCCAAUAAAUACGAAUAUUUAAAUUAAUACUAUCUAAAAACAUAUACUAAUACUAACAUUAAUACUAAUAUUAUCUAAAAUUAAUAUUAAUAAACUAAUAUUCAAAAUCGAGGUGUUAUAAAUGAUGUAAGACGAAUGAAUAAGACGGAAAUAUCAGUAACACGAUGUCAAUAUCAAACUCCCAUAUAUAAAAUAUGCACCAAUUAACAAGGACAAUAUACUGCUUUUUCUUUUAGGGAAGGAAAACAAUACUUCUUAUUAACUUAAGCUGGAAGCAGAAACCUAUGGUCAAUAUGCAACUUUGAUAAAAUACCACAAAUAUAUAAAUAUCCAAAGAGCUUUGUUAAUAAAAUAUAUACACCAUCCGGUUAUUACUACAAGCAAAAAUUCACAUUUUAGGUUCAUUCAGUAAAUGAUGUCAACAUAUAUCAUUUAUCGAAGGGUUAAUAGUAUUUUACCCCCUGUAAUAUAGGUCAUUUCCAGUUUUCACUUCUUUAAAAUUUUCUUUUUAGAUUCCGUCCUUGUAAUUUGAAGUUUUUUGGUUUUGGACCUUCAUGAAUUUUAACUGUACAAAAUCGAUGAUAUGGCAGGGGGUAAACCGAAAUUUUUUCAAAUUGCAAGGGGGUAAACCGAAAUUUUGUCAAAUUACAGGGGAUAAAAUUUUUCAUGAAGGUCUAAAACAAAAAAAUCUUCAAAUUACAAGGACGGAAUCCAAAAAAAAUAUUUUAUAGGGGGAAAACCGGAAAUGACCUAUAUUACAGGGGGUAAAGCAUUAUAAACCUUUAUCGAAUGAACCUAAAAUAUAAAUUUUUGUGUAUAAUAAUAACAGAAAGGACUAAAUGUACUAACAGUGAAAAACUUAGAAAACCGAAAUAAAUCAAUUUUUAGUUAGAGUACCAAUCUGAUACCAAUUUAUAGAUUAUGGGGCAGCGAUGAUUGUGAGUGAGAGUUUUUACCUUCUGAGGGGAAUAAUGGUGGUAUUCUCUCGAUUUGGCAUAAAUCUAUGUCGACGGUGCAUUAUACGUUUGUGGGAGAAGGUUUUGUCGGAUUAUCGUUGGAGUGAGGGGUUUUAAAGCAUAGGUGUGUUAUUAUAAAUGUUUAUGCAAAAUGUGAAUCGGUGGCCAAGAGGCGGUUGUGGGAGAGAUUGUUGUUGGCUAGAAGAAAUUUGGGGAAGGGGCAUGGUGUGUUCUUGGAGAUUUUAAUACCGUAAGUAGUAGGGAAGAAAGAAGGGGGAUUCAUGAUGAUGCGUCCACAAGUCAAGUUUUAGAUAUGGAUUUCUUCAUUAGAUUUCUAAUCGAAGUGGAGUGGAGUUGGAGGAUCAAAUGGUGGCAGGGAGAAGGUUUACUUGGUAGCACCCUAAUGGUCGGUCAAUGAGCCGGAUUGAUAGAGUUUUGGUGUCGAAGGAAUGGAGGCAUUUUUGGGGGGAUGUGAAUCUUUGGGUCCUUCCAUGGGACGUUUCUGAUCAUUGUCCUUUUCUCCUAAAAGUGAAAGGUUGGGAUUGGGGCCCAAAACCGUUCUGUUUUAAUAAUUUUUGGUUGGAUAAUGGUGAUAUUAAGAAGAUGGUGGAAGAAGUUUUGAGGUCGAGUAAUUUAAGUGGGUGGAUGGGGUAUCUUUUGACGGACAAACUCAAUUCUUAAAGGGAAAUUGAGGGAGUGGAAUAUGGGGGUUUGGAUGACCGGGUGAAGAGGUUGACGGAGGAGAUAGUGGUGUUGGAUGUGUGGGGGGAGGUUGGAGGUUUAAAUGAAGAGGAAGUUCAACUUAGGAAGCUUAAGUUUAGUUCACUUUGGAGGUUACUAAAGGCAAAAGAUUCUUUAUUGGUUCAAAGAUUACGAUCAAGGUGGCUAAAGGAGGGGGAUGAUAAUACUAAGUUCGUCCACAAUUGUAUUAAAUCUAGAGUAAAUGGGAAUUGAUAGUGCGGUUGGGUUUUCCUAGGAAGUGGGUGGCUUGGAUGAAAGCGUGUGUGUGUGGUGGAAAUAUGUUCGUUCUUGUAAAUGGAAUCCCAAUGGAAGAAAUUUGCAUUCAAACAGACCUUAAACAAGGAGAUCCCCUAGCUCCGUUUUUAUUUCUCCAAGUGGCGGAAGGCUUCAGUGGCUUGAUGAGGAAUGCGGGUCGUUUGGAGUUGUUCAAGGGUUUUGGUUUCAUGAGAGAUGGUAUGGUAAUCUCUCACCUACAAUAUGUGGAUGAUACUAUUUGUAUAGGCGUGGCAACUGUGGACUUUGGACUUUGAAAGCAAUGUUGACAGGUUUUGAAUUGACAUCGGGUUUAAAGGUGAAUUUUUCUAAAAGUUGUUUGUUGGGAAUUAAUGUUUCUGGCGACUUCAUGGAGAUGGCGUGUAAUUUUUUUAAUUGCACGGAGGGGACGUUGCCUUUCAAAUACAUGGGCCUUCAAAUUGGAGCAAAUCCGAGAAGGAUGUCGACUUCUCAACAAACUUAUUUUUUAAAUUAUGCUUGCCAUUCAUAAUCUUAAAAACUUACAAAAUUAUUUUUUCAAUGCAAUAUUUAUUUUUUAAUUCCACUUUUAGAUCUUUAUCUUGUGCCCUGGUUAACCUUUUUCUUUCUUUAUAUAUAAUAUAUAGAAUAGAUGAUACCCUCGUAAAGUAAUUGCAACUUAUAGAACCUAUUUUUAUUUUUUUUUGAUAGAAAGUAGGGAAACCAAUUUGAAGAGCACUUUCCUAACCUUGCAACAUAUAUGUGUAGGUGACAAUUAACUAUGUUUUGGGAAACUUGGGAAACACACAAAAGGAUUUUUCAGAGGCAAUGUCUGUGUUGGAAAAUGUUGUGGUGGAAUUGGGAAACACUUUGAGUGUUGCAUUAGGUGAUAUUGGAGGGGGAAUAACUAUUGAUGCAGUCUCAAGAGAGCAAGCAAAAAAAGCUCCACAAGUACCUCAGGGAGAGGAUCCAUACAUAAAAAAGAUUGUACUUAAAGGAAAGAAAUAUUACCUCUAUGUUCACAGGUUUUAUUCUUAUUCUUGGAUAUAAAUUACUAGGUAGUGUUAAAAAUAUUUAGAUUUAUAUAUAUAUAUAUAUAUAUAUAUAUAUAUAUAUAUAUAUAUAGGACAUAUCAAAUGAGAGCACUCUUUAUCAUGAGAGGAUGAGAGGGUUAAAUCUCAACCCUUGAAUGUAAAUAAAUGGUCGAGAUUAAAAUACUCCUUUUUUCCAUUCACAUGCAUUCUUUUCCUAUUUGUGCUCACCCUUGGACUUCCUGCAUGCUUUCAUUCCCAUUCUUCAACAAAUCCAUCGUCUUCUUUCACAAAGAAAAUUAAUUCAUGGAUUUAGAAAGUUGAAUUUCUUCUUAGUAGCCUACAUCUAUGUUUCAAUUUUGAUAUUAUAUACUUCUUUUCAAUUCUUCCUUUAUUGUUCUCUUUGAAGACGGGAAUCAACAACAAAUCAUCCUAAUAUGUUAUAAAUUAUUGUUAUGGUUUUAGAUAUAUCAAUUGUAAACCACUUGUUUUUCAACUUCAGAUCUGGCAGGAUAACAACCCAGAAACAACAAUGGAUUUUCACCAUUUUUUCAAAACUAAACCUCAUUCUGAUUUAAUUUUUAUAAUUGAGAAAUUCAAAUAAUCAGAUUUAAUUUUAUGAUGGAGAUGAAGUUGAUGAUUGAUGUAAAGCUUGAGGAAGCAAUUUUAAAAAAGAUGAAAUUGAAGAAUUCCAAUAAAAUAAAAUAAAAAGCAAUUGGGAAAGGUGGGGGUGUCAUAUAUAUGAAGCGGUGGGUAUAGAACCUAAAUCGAAACACCGAUUCACAAAAUUGAAAAGAAUUCCAUCAGAACCUUCUCAAAUCUCUCACAACCAUAUAUGUUUCUUUUCAAUUAGUGUUUUGUUCGACGGAACAAGGAAGGAGUUAUUGUCAAUUGCCAAUUGCUAUUGAGAUUUGAGAGAGAACAAGGAAGGAGAAACGUUUGGGACGAAGCAAGCGUGGAAAGAAAAAAUAAAGUCACUUGCCAUUUAAAGUGCACCUUUUAAUGUGAGCCAUUCAUUUUAAUUUAAGGGUCAUUAUUUAUUCCUCUCAUCCUCUCAUUAUAACACUCCUCUCAUUUGAUACACCCUAUAUAUAUAUAUAUAUAUAUAUAUAUAUAUAUAUAUCAUUUGCUAAUGUUUAUUUCUUUCAGUUAUUUGCGGUUUGGCAAAGAAGCAUCUCGUGCUGAAAUUUUGAAAGUCACUAAUGGUUCUCCUAAUCCUUGCAUUUUAGCUGGCUAUCAUGGUAAACACACGCAACUUCAUUGAUUUACACAUAUCUUUCUAGCAUAAACCAUUCUUAUAACAUGAACCUUUUUAUUCUGCAAAGGCACAUAUACAUAUUCAGGAGAGGAGUAUAAGGCAUUUUCUCCUGCUUCUGGCCCCAACUUUGAUGAAUGCAAAGAGAUAAUUCUUAAGGCACUUAAAGUGAAUGAUCCAUGUCCUUAUGGAAAAUGUAGUUUUGGUGGGAUAUGGAACGGUGGAGGAGGAAGUGGGCAGAAAACUCUUUAUGUUACAUCAUCAUUUUAUUACGUGCCUACAGGGGUAUGUAUCGAGGAUUUCAUGUCGGAUUUCAUGACAUUCACUCAUUUGAUGACCAUUUGAUCAGAAUAGGCAUUUUUUGAACUGGAUCUUGAUCGAACUUCGACUAAUAUUAUUUGUACACGUGUAGGUUAAUAUUGCUGAUCCAAAUAAGCCCAAUUCCAAAAUUCGUAUCGAGGAUCUGAAAACUGGAGCUGAGCAAGUCUGUAAAACAAAAUAUAAGGAUGCCAAAGCCACAUAUCCACUUAUUUAUGAGGAUAGUCUUCCAUAUGCAUGCUUGGAUCUUAUUUACCAAUAUACAUUGUUUGUUGAUGGAUUUGGUAAGUUUGCACUAUUUGAAGUUUUUUUUACAUAUGUUUUCUGGCAAUAUAUAUUAUUGACUUAAAUAUCUUUUGUAAAAUAUAUUAUUUACUUAUGAUCUUCUGUAAUAUAGGUCAUUUUUAGGUUUGUCCCAUGUAAUUUUUGUUUUGUUUUUGUCUUUGUAAAAAAAAAUUGUUUCAAAAUACCCCCUAAUAAGACAUUCAAAAACCAAAUUUUUUGAAAUUUUUUUUCUGAAAAUGGCCUAUUAGAGAGUAUUCUGAAAAGAAAAAAAAUUAUAAAUAUGAAAACCAAUUUUUUUUACAGGAAAUAAACUAGAAAUAACUUAUAUUACAUGGGAUAAAACACAAUUAACCCUAUUCUAAUAUUCUUAGGCAACCUAAGUUAAUCUCUUUUAAAUUAACAAGAAAAAAACAUCUAUUUAUUGACGCAGGCCUAGACCCAUUGCAAGAUAUUACCGUGGCAAAUCAAAUUGAAUAUCAAGAUGCCCUUGUGGAUGCAGCAUGGCCUCUAGGCAAUGCAAUAGAAGCUGUAUCAUCAUUGCCCUUCUAGAAUUAAACUUUGGAUAGUUUAGUGCUAAAGACUACUUUAGCCAAUAAAAUAAAGAGCAGUGUUAUUAACCGACGACAAACACACGACUUAUUAAAUAAAUGGAUGGCACACACAACAUAGGAGAAAGAAUAAAAGCAGCGAUGUGUAUAAUAUGUAUCCAAUUGUUUUAAUAUGUCGUGCCCUAUUAGUAUUUGUAAUAGAGUAAUGAUACAUAGACACCCCUUAUUCUCAUACACCCUUGUACACCCCAUGUAUUAGGAAGAGAGAAGAGGAGAGAAAAGAGAAAGUGUGCUUGUGCGGGGUCCACGUGACUACGUGUUAGAUUUUUGUGUGGAUGUUAAAGGAUGUAUUGUCAUCUAAGAGUGUCUAUGUAUCAUUACUGUUGUAAUAUGUCGUGCCAACAAGCAAUAUCCUAAAAUAAAAUAAAAAACAUCUCAUUUUUCGUUGCAUAUAUGGCUCACUUUGAAUUUUACUUCUACUUAUUAAGUUGAUCUUUAAAUUACAUACGCUACAUGAGCACGAACCUUAAGAGAAAUUUUGUGGAAAUUUUCACUUCAUUUUUUUAGUGGGGUUAAUUUUUUACACAAGUAUUACUAGACAUAUGUGCAGUUUACAAGCAUGCGACGUUACCACCAAGAAUGAGUCAAUCGAAACCAUGUAGCUUAUGUUAUGGUAAAUAGUAAAGCAGUGUAGUUGUUGCAAACAACAAUCAAAUUUUGCUUUAGAUUAAUCAAUUAAUGUGUAACAGAAACGAAGAUUUCAGUGGUUUUUCAUGCAGAAUUAGUUACAAACAUAUAUCUAAACAAUUUGGAUCACCAAACUCAACCUAAUAGACCUGAAGCCGCUAUUUAAACAUUAUUUAGAGUAUCUUGGUCAUAUGAUUUGAAAACCAAUAUUUUCCUUCAACCGUCACAGCUCUAGUGCAUCAUGUUUCCUCUUUGGUUGUUUGUUUGACUCCCUUUCGUCCCAUUGGAGUUGUGGGGAAAUUGUCAAUCUUAUAGCAUCUAUUUCGACCUUUAUUUUUGUUAAGAUAAGUAUUCUUUGUUUCUAUUUUAAAAUUUGAUAUGUAAAAUCUCUGGUUUUUUUAACUUUGUUUCCAUUCUUCUCAGUGGGGAUAAUCUCAAGAAAUGAAUGUUAUUUGAACAACUAUUUUUUAGGAUAAUUUAUGAGACAACCAAAAUAUGCAAAUUAAUGUAUGGAUUGACACAAAAAUCAAAGCAAUAGAGAGAGAAGGUUAAAACAAAAUGUGAGUAUGAAAGAAAAAAAAAAUUGUUACAAAAUGGUUGUUCAAAUAUUAUUUCUUGUCUCAAGAACAUAAAACAACAUCAUGGGUCAGGCUCCGUCUAUGGUGGGCGACCUUAAUAGGUCCCCCACCGUAGGAGACAUGGUUUUUUCUUCUUUCUUUUCUUUUUAAAAUUAAUAUGAAUGGUUUUUUCUUCUUUCUUUUCUUUUUAAAAUUAAUAUGAAUCGAUGGAUAAGGGUUAACCAACCCUUGGAUCAAAAUGCUUACUAUACACCUCCAACACUCAAUCCGGCGUUGUUCUGGUUAGACAUAUAAUUAAGGACAACCGAAAUUAUGUAUACAAGGUACCCGCAUAUAAAAUUUACCACGAACCAAUACAUGAUCAAUAUCUUAAUGGGUACACACGAAUAAAAACAAAUCAUAUUUUAAGUAACCGUAAAUCAAUAGAUGCACAUGCCAUGAAAUAAACAAGAUUUAGGCCAAAAAAAAAACUUUUUUUUGACAAAUUGGAUUUAUUAAAAUUAUUAACACGAAUAGAAUACAAUAAACAUUUUAUUCUAUAUAUGUUAAUAAUUUUACUAAAUCCAGUUUGUCAAUUUUUUUAUGAAAUCAGGUUAAUUUUAUCUGCAUGUGCAUCUAUUAAUUUACGGGUACUAAAAAUAUGAUUUUUUUAUUCGUGUGUACUCAUUAAGAUAUUUGUGUUAUAUCUAUUCGUGGUAAAUUUUAUAUGCGGAUACCUUGCAUACAAAAUUUUGACCGUCCUUAAUUAUAUGUUUACCCCGGACUAUGCCGGAUAAAUACAAUACUAAUUUAGUAUAAAAGAAAGCAACUGAAUGUUGAAGGUGUGUAAUAAACAUUUUAAUUCAGAGGUUGAUCAACUUUUAUCCAAUAGUUUAUAUUUAUUUAAAAAAAAAAACUAUGUCUAGGAAACCUAUUAGGAAAAAGAUUGAUAGUGCGACAAAUUACCCACAAAAAAACAACGAAUAGAUAGUGACCGUUGGAUCUUGCAUUAGAUUGAGUGUACUUUGAUUUUCAUAUAUUUGAAAAAAUAAUACCACUGCCACAUGAUUCGUGUGCCAGUCGCACUGUUAUUUCUCGCAUCAAGUAGCAACUCUCAACCUAUUAAGGUAGCCACCGGAAACGGAACCCAUGGGUCGGCCAUUACUCGAAGAUAUAAUAGCUGACAUCAUAAUAACGAAGCAAUUGGUGUCCAUUUAAUAAUAAGUUUAAUAAAGAGAAAUGACAUAUAUACUACUACUUUAAAACAACUCUCUUUUAUAAUUUUGUUGUGUCUUUGCAUUCUAUUUCUUUUAAUAAAAGUUAAGAAAAAAUUAUUUUAAAAGUUAUCACACAAGUAUGAUCGGUAUUCUUUAAUAAAACACAAAAUAGUAUGUAGAGAACCUUCUUUGAUGGGUGUCUUAAUCGAAUAAAAGCAUCUUUGAAGCAUAAUUAUUGAAGUCAAAGAGUUGUAGAUAAUCAUAACCAUUUUUUUUGUCUACUAUAUCGUGGCUCACUCCAGCUUUUGGUAUUCGUGGACAUGGUAACUUCUUUUUGUAGUAUAAGCUAUAGUAAAUUCUCUAAUCUUUUGAAUGCCUCCAAAGAAAAACUACUCUAAAAUUAUCACGUUUCACAUGGUUUAGGUCUUUUGUGGUGUUUGUAAUUCGGUUUGCAUCGGUUUGAAUAAUAAAAAGUCAUCUAAUAUAAACAUUAAAAUAAGACGAGUUUUCUUGACAAAAAAAAUAAUUAAAAAGACGAGUUCUUUUAAAAAAAAUAUUAGCGAAAAGACGAGCGCUCACAGGUUUACUGUGAAGUAUGUCUCCAAAAAAAGACGGAUGUCUUUUAAAUAAUUUUAAACGUACUCUUGUAGAUAACAUACAUCUCAUUCAUGGGAAGCACUUCAGUGCCAUUGUGCCAUAGGACCAAUCAUAUUUUGACACGUGUCAAGGCUUAUUAAAAUAAAAUAAAAUAAAAACUGAAAAAGGAAGUUUAAACUGUAAAAUGCAGUUAUAAAAGUGGACUGAUGUAGCAAAAUAGUGUAAACUAGUUAGUAAUUUUGCACUAACAAUUCAAAUCCUUUAUAUACAUCAAUUAAUUGUGCAAUAUUGUAAAGAUAGGCUAAGCAAGCUUUAUUUUGUAACAGAUUGGUGUUGUUUCAGCACACGGUCCUAACUCCUAACAAACUUUGGAGUAACCAAUUUUGUUUUCCUGAAAUACAAGAACAGGAAGACCUCACUUUCCCUUGUUUUCUCUCUUUUUCUAUGAUAUAGCAUAUUGCUAAAAUAUGCGGUACACCAAUGGACAAAAAUCUAAACAAAGCCCCUACAGCCAUCCUAAUUCUACCAAAGUCCAAAGGUAGUGAUGAUGCUAACAUAUACAACAAAGUAACAGAGGAUCCCAGCCACAAGCACAGCCACAUAAAGGCACAACAAAGCACCAAAAACCUCUAAAACCCAGCCUAGUAUAUCCCAGCCUCAAAACCAGCCCCCAAGUUAUGGAUAUUGUGCACAAAAAACACAAACAGCUGACCAAAACCAGUCGCGCAAAAAACACAAACACAAACUUGUUAUAUUAGUAUACCAUUAUUCUACAAUUGAUUCAAAACAGCACCAAUACCAUUGUUUUCAAUCAAGAGUAACCAUUGUUAUGAAGAAAUCAUGACAAAGCAUAAUACUAACCAAAAAAUAAAUUGAAAAAAAAUGAUUUAAUUGAUGGAUAAAACUUAAUUUCAUAUACACAUUGAGAUCCAAAUUACAUGAGAGAGACUUAAUCUAAUAUACAUGUAAUCAAAAUCUGACUUGAUUGAAUACACAUAACAAGAUCUAAGCCUUCUUUAGAGACUUUCCUUCCCAAUAGCAGCUGUCCAGUUUUCUUGUUCAAAAUCUUUCAAACAGAUCCAACCUCCCUGCAACCCUUGACACACCAAAAAUCAUCUUGAUAAGCCAAAAAUCUUAUUCACCAAAACAACAUGGAUUCAAUCGAAUACGAGAUUGAGAAGGAGGGAUGUCAAUAGCCGUCGGAGGGCGAUGGUUGAAGGUUAUGGCGGCGGACGGCGAAGAAAACCGGUGGUGGUUUCUGAAUCGCGUUUUCUGGAAGCGAGAAAGAAAACUUGCGUUUUCUGUUUUCUAGGAACCAAAACCGGAGGGCGUUGUGUUUUAUUUCAUUUAAACUUGCUUUUUCAGUUUUUUUAUUAUUAUUUUAAUAAGCCUUGACACAUGUUAAAAUAUGAUUGGUCCUAUGGCACCAUAUUACUAUUGCACUGAAGACUGAAGUGCUUCCCCUCAUUCAUCAACAAUAUGGGGUUGGUUGAUUGGAAUCAUGUUCUAAGAGAAGCAAAUCAAGUGGCAUACCUAUUUGCGAAACAUGGGUUAUCUUUGAAUGAUGAUUUAAAGAUUUUUAAUUUUGUUCCUAGUUUUAUUUCUUUGCCUUUGUUGACAAUGGAUUUUUAAAUACAACUCUUACUGGAUUUGUUUUCUCUAGUCAUAUGUUGAACAUAAAUAAAGAAUUUUCAAUUUUAUUUUUUUUAGAGUGAUCAAUCAUCCUAGAAAAGCUUCUUCUAUUACUCAGGUGGAUCGGAAAGCUAAUCUUUGUAAUUGAUUUAACGGUAAUAUAUUAUAAGGUGUUUCGGGCUUCCUGAAACCUUCUUCUUGUCGUGGCAUUUUCAGGAUUUUAGAGUUUUAAUUGUGAUUGUGAGAAAAACACAAGAAUGGAUUAAAUUGUGUUUACGGAAGGAAGGAGGGAGGGAGGGAGGGAGGGAGGGAGGGAGGGAGAGGGAGGGAGGGAGAGAGAGAGAGAGAGAGAGAGAGAGAGAGAGAGAGAGAGAGAGAGAGAGAGAGAGAGAGAGAGAGAGAGAGAGAGAGAGAGAGAGAGAGAGAGAGAGAGAGAGAGAGAGAGAGAGAGAGAGAGAGAGAGAGCAAUUGUACUGGUUUCACCUACAAUCCAAUAGUCAGGCCCGGCCUUGAGGGAGUGCAUGGUACUCAACCAAGCCAGGCCUAAAAAAAAAUUAAAUCUAAAACCCACCCCCACUUAAAUAAAAAAAUAUGGAGAAUGCUAAUGAGUGCCCUUGAGGCAUUGGUUAAGCUGAUAAAAUUCGUAACUUUGCAUCAAAAAAUGGUGUGAUUAUUGGCAAGACAAAAGUAAAAGUUUAUAUUUCCAAGACAGAAUUUCUAUUAGUGGAUUCUUUAACCACUGCCGUUAGGGCACUGGUUAGCAAAACCCAAAAAAUAUAUGUUACUUCUUUUUCUUUCUUCGGUACACGUUUGAGUUUUUUUUUAGACUCUAGUUCUCCUUUCUGGACAUAAAUCUGAUGCUAUCAAACCACCCCCAAUUUUUAUAAUCAUUUAAUCAGUCAAUUUAUAAAGUUAUUUCAUUGAAAGAAUCACAACAAUGAUUUCUUUUUCGCAUAAACCAUUCGUUUUCCCCUUUCCCACAACGGAUGAGUGACAAAUCCAAACGACACUGUUAGGUAAAUUUCACCUAUCUUUCACUUUUUUUUGGUUUCAUGUUUAGAAGUUCUUUUGGUUUUGAUUUUUUAAUGAAGCUUAGCUUCACAAAAAAAAUUGCAGUUUUAUUUUAUUGGAGGCCUAUUUUAAAAAGAGAGUUGAGCCUCCUAUUUUAUAGGAACAACACUUCCAGUAGUAGUCCAAUCCUCUUGCACUUCCAAGGAAUUUUCACUGUAAUCACAACUAAUUACAAAUGUUCAAGAUACAACCAAGAGACUUGCAAGUGCUCAAGCACACAAGCAAGAGACUUUCAAUGUUCAAUCACAACUGAAUGAGACAUCUAAUGCUUAAGCACAAAAGCAAAAGACUUCUAAUGAGUUUACAAAUAAACAAGAUUUGUUCUUACAUUUGAUAUAUAAUCAGAGGUGUAAACAAUAUAAAUCAUAAUUGACUUUAAGACUUAGAAUUUCUAAAAUACAAACUUUGUUGAGAAAUUCUUAAGUGUUAUAUGCGCUUUUUGAUUUGACAAAGUAAGGACACAAUUAAAAUAGUAGAGUCUUGUUAUUGUUCUUCAAGUCUUCUGCUUCUUAUAUAGGCAAGGAAAUAAGAGACGUUGGAGAAGAGUGUCAGCGCAUUUAGAGUCGCUAAGAAGCUUCAAAUCAAUAAUGUUGGGUCAUUGUCUGAUAUGGAUAAUGUCGUUGAUUAGACAUUCGAAAUUCCUUUGCUGAAACUGGAAUUAUCUGUUCAUUAUCUUUGUCCUUGAAGUUCUUUGUUUGUUUCUACAUGUGGUCAGAAAAGACAAAUUGUAUUAUCAGAUUUUGAUAGAGACAACUAUAGAAAAGGACAAAUCUGACGUGAAGUCUGAGUCCCUCAAGAUCUUUUGCACUUCAGAUUUUGGAGGUCUUAAGAGUCUGAUGUAGAUCUUCAGCUUCUGAGUAACAUCUUUUCUUCUCAUCCAAUGUGUUAACUUCUGGCUGACCUUUCUUCAGAUCUAAUACCAUAGUCUUUGAGCUUCUCUCGUGUUUCUGAUGCUCUCAUACAUGUUCAAACCUUGUUAAAUUUUAAUAUAUGAUCUCGCACACUAGAACAUUUAUAAGCAUAUCCAAUUGUUCUUUAAUAUUUUAUUAUCAUCAAAAUUUUAGAGGAAUUGUACAAACCAAAUUUGUUCCAACAAAUUGUUGGUUGUUUUUCUUUUUCAUUAAGAAUGUGAUUGCUUUUGAAGAUGAGUUAACGACUGCUAACACAACUAUUAAGUUUGCUUUUGAUAAAAGUUGAUAGGGAAAUGUUAACUUGUACCCUUAAGGCACAAGUUAAGAAGCUAAAGAUAAAAAAAAAAAUUUGGAAAUUGUGUAUUCAACAUCACAAAAGUUUAAACAUUUAUACUUUCAAUACAAAAUUAAUUAUUUAUUUCCUUUUAUAGCUCCUUAACUUAUGCCCUUAGGACAUAAGUUAACAAGACCCAAGUUGAUAUCGUCUUUGGUUAGGAUGAUAUUCCUCGCUUGUGGUAAAAACUUUUAAGAAUUUUCAUGUCUAUUUCCUCAAGAAUAAAAAAUAAUUUUAUUUAAGGGAUGAAUAUAAUUAGUUACCUCUCGUCCCGUAAGUGUAGCUCGGUUGGUAGCUACCAAAAAUAAUUUGUGCAGGAGUCAGAGUUCGAACCCCGGAUUCUCCACUUAUCCACACUUAAUGUGUGUGAAUCUAGCCAUUACACUACUUGAUAAAAAAAAAUUGGGCCUCUCAUGUAUAAACAUGUAGUACAAUAGUUACGUUGAUAUGUGGCGUUUGGUUUUCAUCUAGAAAUAAUAUUUGGGGAACUCUUUGACUUAGAUUUAUUUUACAGAAAUGUUGUCGGAAUCGGCAUAAUAUUCACUUAUGUUGUCGGAAUCAGCAUAAUCUUCACUUCUUUAAGCUUGUUUGAAAUUUUUUUCCAUGAGUUCUUUGUUUAUGUUCCACAAUGUUUGUUUUUCCUGUUUUUGAUUUUUUUUAUAAUAAAUUUUCUUAGUUAGGCCUAGGAUUGUUCGACUCUUUGGUGACAAUAUAGUUGAAAUGUAAUAAUCUCGUUUGACGUUUGAUAUUUUUUAUAAUACAUGUUCCGAAUUGAUCAAGGGUUCAAGAUCGAUGUUCGAAGAGGCUCAAAUACAUCUUUAACCCAACGAUCCAUACUGAGUGAUGCUCUCAUCAAGAAUCCACAGACCCAACGAUCCAAUUGUCAAAAGCUUUGAAUUUCAUCAAACUUGUAAUGCUUCCGACCAUAAAUGUCAUAAAACGUUCGAAGUUACAAACUCGUCGUCCGUAACACACCUUCAACGGCUAUCUUCGAUAGUCAUAUAGACGACUGUAUAAAAGAGUUCUUAAACCACAACUCAAGGUGUACAUUAUCUAUCAUUUCAAUAUCCUCCAAGUCGCAUCUCGAUGGUUGCUGCUCCAUAAAGAUAAUCACUACUCGUGUUCAAUGUUUAAUACACAUUUUAUAUAUGUAUGGCUAGAGGAUAUUAAUAAAAGUUCUUCUCAUCCUUAUCGGUUUCAUAUGUCUCUUUUCACCUUAUUUCAACGGCCGGACCUAAAUAGGAAUGAUUAAAGGAUGUCAUACGAUAUGUAAGGAAAUAAGUAACCAGAAAUAGAAUGUGCAACAUAUAUAACAUUAUGAUUCAAUGUUACAAGAUAUUAUCCAAAAUUAAUAAAAUUCAGUGUUUCAAGACCUUUUCUCUUUCCAUUCUCUAUGCACCAACUCUCGUUCCUUCUCCCCUUUACGGCCCAGAGGACCAUAACCGACAUAUUUUUGCAUAGCAUACUGUCUGACCUAACCGAUAUACCUUUGGUCAAUUAAAACAUUUCACUCGUUAAUCUUUUAGUUGAAGCAAAAUAUUAAUUGUUGCACUCAGUUUCAAUGGAACAUGACACAUAUUGAAAUUAAGACUCACUAAUUUUUUUUAUCAAAUAGUUUUAAAAUGUGGAGUAGUGAAGUAUCCGAGAUUCGAACUCUGACCUCUGCAUAUAAUAUGUAAUAUCCUACCAACUGAGCUAAGUUCACCGUCCAUAUAUUUUCAAAUUAAUUUGAAGUCCUAAAUUAUAAUUAAACGCCUGUAUUAUAUAUGAUUGUCAACAAAUCAAAACUCAAUUGUUGGCUACUAAAUUAGAAACCCCAAUAAGUAACUCAAUUAAUCAUGGAUAGAUACAUUAGAUCCAGAUGGCUCCAACCUGCAAUAUUACUUCUUUUGGCUUUGCUUUCUAUCACAAAAGAAAAAGCCAGGUGCAUUAGGUACAUGCCAAUUUCAGAAAAAAGAUAUAAAAGUUUGACUUUUCCAAUUAGGAACAUUAUCACUCUAGCUCCAUACGACCAGGACCACAACACAUUGGGAAGAAAUUUAACAUUUGGAAUAUUAUGGGAGUGACACAUAGUUGAAAACAUGGCCUGAUUUAAUUACUCUAUUAAAUUGUGGUUAAGGAUUAAAGGUAAGUGUAUACCGUUGUUGAUUUUGGUUAAUGAUUCAUGGAAGAGAUUAGAUGAAGUGGCGUGACACCAUUCUUGGAUAAUUACAUUUUAUAAAGUUGUUUGGUUUUGCUUGUUCGGGUUGGUUUUGUGUAUAACUUAUCUUAAGCUAAUUGAUUCGGAAACUGACCCACAAGAUUAUGAUGUAAUUAACUUCUAGUUUAACAAUGUCAUAACACUUAAGAAGUUAUUUUUUAAAACAAAUUUUCUAAUGUGUGUAACAUCACCAUUAAUAGUUCAUUACUUUUUCGUUAUAAAUUAUUCACUUCCAAUAUGUUGGGAAGAAAAUUUAGAGAAACUUCUAAGGUACCGUUUGGCCAUGCUUUUUUUUGGUCUAAAAGCUACUUUAAAACAAAGUUAAAAUAAAACUCUUUAAGAAAAAGGCUAAAGCUGUUUGGUUUCUUUAUUUUUUUUUAGUUCUAAAGUUAUUUUUGAGUUAAAAGCUGUUUGGCAAAAUAUUGUACAAAACUUUGAAUUUAUUAUUUUUUGAUAGUGUCUGGGGUUCGAACCCGGGACCUUGCAUAUAUUUAUGCAUUGUCUAUAAAUAAAUAAAAAACUUUGUAUUCAUUAUGAAUUAACAUAAUAAAUAAAAAAAUGUCUAAAAUAUUUUUUGAAGGGAAAAAAUGUUUAAAAUAUAAAAGAUAUAUUUUUACCAAUACUAUAUUUACUCAAUGACGUUUAUUUUGUGUAACAUGAAUACAAAUUUGUACAAUAUCUUUUCCAAUUAUACUCUAUAACAAAAUUUUGUUAUAACAAAUUUUGUUAUAAGAAUACCAUAUUUUAAUUAGUGUUGGUCAAAAAGAUAAGAAUUUAUAUUUAUAUAAUAUUAUAUUUGUUACAUUGUUGGUGUCAUUGAAAAAUAUAUGUUUAGUUUUUUUAAUAAGAAAAAGAUAUGCAUAGUUUGUUACAAUACAAAUGUGUAAAUUAUAUAUAAGUAUAAUUAUUUUAGGCAACUACACUUGUACUUUUAAUUAAAAUCAAAAUUUUAUAAAAAUAAUUAUACGCAUUACACAACACUAACAAAAAUUAUACGCAUUAGCAUAACAAAAAAAAAACAGAAAGAGGAAUAUAAAGUAUUACUCUAAACGCUAACGCGUGUGUGUAUUUCCGUGGUUGAAGAAAGGGAAUAAAAAUAGUCGGUGUCAUUCAUUGACAGCGUGAAUACAAAUAUUUGUGAGGUUGUGAUGAUUAAAAGAUAUUGAAAUUAAUAUAUAAGUGAUAAAAAGAUAAUAAGAUUCUUUAAAAAAAUAGAUAAUAAACUUAAAUGGAACCUCAUUAAAAAAUUAAAUGGACCGGUUAAAAAAAAAAUAAAAAAUAAAAAAUAAAAUGGAAGAAAAAAGUAUAUUGAAAAAAUAAAACAAAAGGUUGCCGGCGGAAGUUGAAGAGAGGUGCUUGUGAAAUAAAUUGGGGAGAAAUACUUUUUUGAAGUAGCAUUCAACAACUUUUGGUUAAAGCUCAUUCCAUUCAAUUUUAUGCAUUCUAAAAAAAGUAAUUUUUUUCGAAGGUACUUUAUUGAUAUUGUGUUUGGCCUAGCUUCUCCUUAAAAACGUAGAAAAGCUGAAAAAAAGACAGGCCAAACGGUACCUAAGACUACUCAAGUUAGGAGAAAUCGACAAAUGUUUAUUGCGAAUUUUGGCAAAUAAAAUUAAUUUGGUAUAAAUUGAAUCCUUUAGUUCACUCGAAAAAAAAAAUACGUUUUUUAGACUUUUUUUUGGGUAAAAAACUCUUUUUUUUUUUUUUUUUAAUAAUGUGCAUUUUUUAAUCAACGAGAGAAUUAAAAUCUUUUGGUUUUAACGCGAUAUUUCAAGAUCAAUAAAGGUGCAAAGAGAUGACAUUGAUUAAAGAAAAUUACUCUAGACUACACACAAGGUGGAUUAUUUUGAAACACGUUUAAUUUAUUUAUUUUUCGGUAAGUGAAUCACAUGUGAGACCUACAUUACCCCUUGAUGAAUUGGAGGUAAUUUAUUCUAUAAUGAUAAAUAUGAUUCGAUUUUGAAACAAAAAAUAUGUAGAUCAUAUGUUGAAUAAAGGAGAUGAAAAAGUUUGAUUUUCUUAAAAUGAAUAUGAUAAUUGAUUGUCAGAAGAAGAAAAAAAUCAAAAUAGCGAGGCCUACAUUAUCAUUUGAUGAAUUAGAGGUAACUUACCCCUAAUAACAAACAUAUGUAGAAGUUUGAUGUCCUAGGAAUGAAAGUGGUAUUUAACUUUUAAAAAAAAAAGAUGAAAAAAGUAUGUUUUUCUUUGAUAGAGGUAAAUUACCUCCAAUUGGGUAAUGUAUAAAAAACCAUGUUUUAAAAUCACAUAAAAUAUUGUACUCUUUCCAUUCAUAAAUACAUCUGACAGUCAAUCAUUGCAUACAUGUCCAUACAUAACUUUGAUCAUUAAUAUUUUUAAUCAUUUAUAAUAAAAAAUUAUAAAAAUUUGAUAUUUUAAAAAUAACUAUUAAGAUAAAUCGAGCAACAUCUUACACGUUAUAUAUAUAUAUAUUAUUAUUUUUGUUAGGUAGUUUAGUGGCUAAAAUUCACAUUUUUCAAGGUGAAUAAAUGACGUGUUAAACGAAGGUUUGAGAGUGUUAAACGAGAUUAAGACUCAAAUGUCACGAUCAUAUUAACAAAAGUUGAAGAAAAUAAUAUUACAAUGUGCUCUCUAUAUAUUGAACAACUAACUAUCAAUCUCUUAAGUCUAAACAACUCUGACAAACAAACUAAUUCCUAGCUGAAUUAUAUUUUGUAACACCAUUCUUGUGAAAAUUUCUCCCACAACAUUUUAGUAACUUCACUCAAAAUUGACAUGAUAACUAUUAAGAUUCAAUAGCUUGUCGAAAAAACUUGACACUUGAUUAUCAUAUAAUCAAGAAAUACUCAAAUAUAAGUGAGCAUGUCUUUUCAAAUUCCACAUGGUUGCUAUAGAAUGAAUUGAUUAUCAUAUCUUGUCUAUUUUUGGCUCUUCUUUAGAAUGAAUUAAGUGUCAAUUACAAAUUUUUUUGUUGGUGGCGAUUAUUAAUGUCCUUGGUGCAAUUUGAUCGGUAGAAAUCAAUUGUCAUUGAACAAUAAAAGUACUUCUAUAUCCAUCAUCUUUUUUUAGUCGCGAUUUAAACCCUAAACCUUACAUAUAUUAUGCAUUUUUCGACCAAUUGAGUCAAGUUCACGAGGAUCGUAUAUCUAUCAUCUAAUCAAGAAAAAUAUAUCUUGAAUCCACAAACUGAUCAUAAACCUCCUUGUUCCACUUCUUUGAAUCACUUUUGAGGACUCUCGAUUUUUUUAUGAUAAAUUCCAUCCUUAGAAAAAAUCAUAUAAAACCUUAUGCCCCAUAAAAAAAAUAAAAAAUACUUAUUGCUUUGUAAUUAAGACUGCUCUUGAGUUUCCACACACAAACUUUCCACAAAAAGAGGAUGCUCUCAAUUGGUCAACGAAUAAAACUUCACCUUUGUAGACAUGAUUAACACCACCCAUGCAAGCCAUACUUUUGAGGAUAUGGCUACCAAUUAUUUUAUUUUACAAUGAGAAAAGAGGACAAUAAUAAUGUACUCCAAAAGUUUGGAUUAUUACAUUACUAGUUUCGUUAUUGCCAUCUGGACCACUCACUUGUGUCCAUCAUUUUUUUUUUGUUACAUUUGUGUCCAUCAUUUGAGUUAUUUGUAGUUUCCGUUUGAUAAUAAACCAAUAAGCGCAGUCAAGAAAAAUAUAUCCAUGUCCAUAUAUAUUUCAUGAAUCUCAUAAAUCUUUUAGCACAAUUAUUCAAUGUAUUCUACUUUUAUUACUACCUCCGUCCAUAAAUAUAUGAGUUUUUUGCAAAAAUUACGGAGAUUAAAAAAGUUGGUUGUAUUAUUAAUUUUGUAUAUAAUUACUAUUGUUUUUACAAUUUUAUCCUUAAGAGAGAGAAUUAAUUUAUGUUUUCAACAUAAUAUUUAUUGUUGAUUGAAGAAAAAGAUGCAAAAUAAAUAAGGGUAUGUUGGUAAAGAAAUAAUUAAUGUACUUGAAAAUACCAAAGGACUCUUAUAAAAAGGGACAAAAUUUUUCUCAAAAAAAUCUUAUAAUUAAGUAGUAUAAUUUUUCGUGAUUAUAGUCGUAACUUUUUUAACAGAUAUUGCUAAUAUAAGUCCUACAUAUAUAGUUAUGUAAUUUGAACCGAUAAUUUAUCAUUAAAAAAAACAACUCAUGUGUAAUUUUUUUUGUUAUAAUUUAUCAUUAAAAAAACAACUCAUGUGUAAUUUUUUUUUACAAUCCUCAUGUUGUCAAAAUGUGAGGCCCGAUAGUGGUAGCCAUUAGAUUACGAAUAAAGAUUGGUAGACAUCCUUAAUGUGUACAUUCAUUUACACCACUCUAAAGAAUUUAAGUUAACUAAAUAUAUGGUAUGUGUGACCAUAUUUUUCAAUUGUGUGACCACUAUUUUCCAGCAUUUAGAAGCUGAAAAAUAUGGUCAUGUAACUAAAAUGCACGUGACCACUAUUUUUCCACUUAAUUAACCUAAUAAAUAGUGGUCACGCAACUAAAAAUAUGUGGUCACACAGACCAUAUAUAUAGUUAACUUAAAUUUUUUAGAGUGAUACAAAAGGGUGUAUACAUUAAAGGUGUCUACAUAUCAUUGUUGUUAGAUUAUAUCCAAGACUCUAAUCAUUUUGUAUGUUUAAGGUAUAAUUGGAAGAGAUAAGUUGAAAAUUUAAAUAAAGGGAACAAAUUAAGUGCGUAGGGUAAAAAAAAAUUGCAGAAUAUCUUGAGAUUUAUUAAGGUAUUUUUAUGAUCGAUGAGAGUAAAUAUAAAUUUGAAGAGCAAAUGAAAAAGAACAUAUUUGAGUUUUUUUAUAAAAUUUAAUAAACUUAUUGUAAAAAUUAUUAAGAGAAAAGUGAUUUGGAUCAGUCCUAAUCAUAGUCCACCUAAUAUAAUAAGACAUGGGUGCUCUAGUCAAAGUGUCAAAGCCACACGCUCGAUUAUCCCAUGUCAUACCUUAAUCCACGACCAUGAUGACAAUGGCCACCAACAUUAAAAUAUAUAUACAUGUUCUGUUAAGAUUUAAGAAUGAGAUAUCUGGCAUAUGCUUAUGUUUUUCUACAAUCUUUCAACAAAAAUUGCACUACUAUUCCUAUGACUACAGCUGGGCCAAUAACAGCACAAAGAUUUUCAUUGAAAUUCCCAAAUUACCCUCAAUGAUACCGUCAAUCAUUCUACUUUGUGGCUUCACAUGAAACGUGUCGACAUCUAAUCUUAUCAUCUGAAGAACGAUGAUGUCACAGCCGCCAUUACGCAACGAUAAUAGACUCUGGACCAAGAUUUACCAUAAACGACAAAAGUGGAAGUUGCUGGUGACAAAAAUUACAUCAAUCACACCGUAAAAAAGGUAGUAAUGCUUGUGUAAGAUUAUAACCAAGGAUUGGCCAUGUAUAUUUCGGAUAGCACUUCGGUGAUAUUGGAAUGUUGAUGUCCAUUUAAUAUUAGUCAACCAUAAUAUAUUUAUGACUAACUAACUGUUACCCAUAUAUUGCUCAAGUGUCUUUUCCUAACAAAAAACUUGAACAGAAAAAGUUUUGUUUUCAAAUUUAACUUUUAAAACAAAAAACUCAAACUCACACACACCUACUCCUAAAUUUUCACUUAUUGUAUGUUUGGAAUCCCGGCUAAUUUGUCAUUCUCGCGUUACAAGGCAAUGUCACUGCUGAAAAAUAUUACCUCCGUUCCUUUUUAAUUGUCACAUUUUAACAUUUUACACAAAUUAAGACAAUCAACAAUUGAUACCACUUUUGAUGCAAUAAGCUAUACUUUUACUAUAAUGACCUUAUUCAUUUAAUAUCUCAUUUCAUAUAUUUCUCUCUCUGUAAUAAAUAACUAAGGACAAUAUUGGUAAACCAACAUUUAAUGUUGCAUUUAACUUUGAAAAUGACAGUUAAAUAGGAAUAAAAAAUUUCUCCAAAAGUGACACUUAAAAAGGAACGGAGGGAGUAAAAACUAUAAAGUGUGGCUUCUAACGAAACGCACGUCUACGGCAAAGUAAACGCUGGGACAUACAGACACUUGGUUCUUUAAUUCAAUCUGUUCAUAUAUGAACCAUUUAAACACUCAAUUAAAGAAAUCACAUUUGUGAAUGCUCAAACCUCAACCCAAUUCACUUAAGUGCUAGUUUGCUUCCACAUCAAAACAAUACCAAACAUACUUUUACUAAGAAGCUUGGAUUUUUAGCUUUAGAAAAUCACUGUAUAUUUGUGUUGGAACGUGUUUCCAAACACAUGCUAAAAAAAGCUUAAUCCUGAACAUAAUCUCAAUUAGAGUAGAAAAUUGGAUAAUUACCGUGCCCUACUGGGAUCAUUAAACAGUAGUCAAGUUGAAAAAUAUUUGUUUAUUAAAAUGUGAAGCUUAAAGUAUGAAACGUAAGUCUAAUUAUAUAAUUUUUGCAAAACUAAUCUAAAUAUCAUUUUCUCACCAUGGAUUGGGUUUGUCAUUCAUCAUCCGUUUUCACAUUGCUUCUAUCUCCUAACUCCUAUCUUCUUUAAAAUGGACCCCACUUUUGGACAAAAUCAUGGUUCUUGGAACUGAUCUAAAUUUUUUGUCAUUCAUACCCCCUAGCCCCCUUGGCCUAAUCUCUUCCCACGUGACGACAAAAAUUCCACAACCAUAAAAUCCCUUCCUUUCUUCCAAUCCCAAAAAUUUCAAUCCUCUCUCAUUAUUUUCAUUUUGUGUAUGCUUCACACCAAGUUUGGUUUUUGUCUCUCUCUCUCUCUCUUAGCACACACCCUCAACAUUUUUUUAAUACCACAUGGGAACCCCACAGACCAAUUUGCCACCAGGUUUUAGGUUCCACCCUACUGAUGCAGAACUCAUUCUUCACUACCUUAGGAAAAAAAUUGCCUCCAUUCCCUUGCCUGUUUCCAUCAUUGCUGAAGUUGAUAUUUAUAAGUUGGAUCCUUGGGAUUUACCAGGUUUGUAUUCUAUAAAUUUAUAAGUUGAUCCAAAAUAUACGUAUGUACUUUUUUAUAUUACUUUUUUUUAAUUUAAUAAUGUGUGAUGUGGAAGGUUAAUUUACUUUUGGUUUGUUGUGGUUUCUUUAUUUUCAGCUAAGGCUUCAUUUGGUGAGAAAGAAUGGUACUUUUUUAGUCCUAGAGAUAGAAAGUACCCAAACGGUGCAAGGCCAAACAGGGCAGCUGCUUCAGGGUAUUGGAAAGCCACUGGCACUGAUAAGACCAUAGUGGCAUCAUUGCCAUGUGGAGGAGGAAGAUCACAAGAGAACAUUAUUGGUGUCAAAAAGGCUCUUGUUUUUUACAAAGGAAAACCCCCAAAGGGUAUUAAGACUAAUUGGAUCAUGCAUGAAUAUCGUCUUGUUGACAACAAUAAACCUAUUAAGCUCAAAGAUUCUUCCAUGAGGGUGAGUUUAGAUUGCGGUCGCGUCGCAAUUAAAUGUGACUAAUGCAAUAUCAAUCAUAGUCUUGCCACAGUCGAACAACGGCAUAAAAAAAACAUAAACUCUGAUGUUGUUGUUUGAUUGUGGUCACGUACUUUUUUUAGAUGUAUCUUAGACUAAUGUUAUUCUUGGAAUUAUUGUAUUUGUGCAGUUGGAUGAUUGGGUGCUAUGCCGAAUUUACAAGAAAUCAAAAUGUGCACUAACUUCAACAGAAUCAUCAGAAACUAUGGUAGGUGAAGUGGAACAUGCAGAAGAGACACAAUUCCAAGAAACCCUAUUUCCAAUCACCAAAAACACAACCUCACCUCUUCAAAACACACUCAUGUCUCAAAAAUCAGUGUCCUUUUCAAACCUAUUAGAUGCUAUGGACUACUCCAUGUUAAGCAGCUUCUUAUCUGAAAAUUCCAACAACCCAUCAGGAAUUGGAACAAGUUCAGGUUUCAACACUGAAAAUUUUAACCAACAACAAUCUUCCCAUAUCAACACUUGCAACAAUUACAUGUCUCAGAAGAAUCCUCAAUCCAACACUUUAAAGCACCAGCUUUCAAACGUAGAUGAAGACAUGUUAUACCCAUCAAAGAAGUACUUGAGUUCCUCUUGCAAUUUUCCUAACAUCAAUUCUCAGUAUGAAAACUACCUUAUGAAGCAAUCUUUGAUGAAUCAACAAUUGCUUUUAGGUCCUCAUCAUCAAUAUCAAGGCUAAUCCAAAAUACCACAAAAAUUAAGUGGUACCAAAAAAAAAAAGAUUAUGAAAUAGAAAAGUUAAGUAAGAUUUCUAGAAGUUGGGCCCACCAAAUUACACCAAUGUCAUCAUUAAGUAAGGAUUGCUAAUUUAAUAGUAGUGCACAAAAUAUAGUGUGUUCUAUUUUGUCCAUUUUAAUUUUUUUUCUAGGAAUUGAAGGAGGGGUUAGGACCUAUUUGGUAUGGAGUCAAAAGAUUCCUUAGUUGAAGACUGAAUAAAUUGUGAAAAGAAAAUAUCAAAGUUUUAUGACCUAUCAGAAAUAGUAGUGUACAAAAUGUUAAUUUGUUUGUGUGUUGUUGGGGUUGGCAAGUUAGCUUUAUGAUAUAUAUUCUGUAGAUAAGUAUUGUACUGAUUGUGAUGAUAUUUUUCAUUCUUUUCAUGGAAAAAGAAGCUACAAAUUUUUCUUUUGGAUUGUAACUAUUCGCCAUUUCAGUAUGUUAAUCUUUAUUGUUUUUUGAUGUGGAUCCAACCAAGAAUUCACUGUACAAGAAUCUUUGACUUAGUAUAAAUUUCUUAAAUUAGAUAUAAAAUGAAGGAAAAUUUAAGAUGAUAAGAUUAAGAUUGAAUUGGGGAUCCGUCACAAGAAUAAAAUGUUAUUUGAUAAGCAACUAGAAUUGCUUCAUCUAAACACUUAAAAGGAGAAAAACUAUCUCUUACAUCAAUACACAGAUUGAAAAUAAAAUACUCAUGUAUUAACCAAAUGAAAAAUAAUACUAACAAAAUUGUUAUUUAUACAUACACAUAUGAGGCACCUAUAAAUCUCAAUAAUAAGCAAAAAAAAGGCUCAAUAAGGAAUUAGAAAAACAAUGAACAUUAUACAUCUUCAAAAUAAAACAAUUUAAAUUUUAAACUAAACAUUAAUACAAACAAACAAAGGAAUAUUAAAAGGAUAUUUGACUUCACGUUUAGUGUGGAUAAAGCAUGUUGUCCCAAUGUCCCUGCCAUUUUUGGCUGUUGUUAUUCACAUGCUUUGAACCAUUACAUACAAUAUUGAAGCAAUGUAAAUGGAACCUAUAAACAAAUUUACCAAUUGAAUUUUCAAUUAUAAAUUUAUACCAGCUUCGUACAAUUUUUUCACUAUUUUAUCUUAUCUUCCUAAUGCCAAGUCCAACUUAUUUGUGUUACAUUUACACUAGAGUGUAUAAUAGCCAAGUCCAACUUUGCUACAUAUCACUUACCUCGUGUGAAUGCACACACACCAAACAAAAAUACCAACUUGACACAAAAAAUAAGAUUAAUUCUUCUUUUUCUACCAAAAACAGUGUAUGCAUUCGCAAUAUUAAUCAGUUGUAUGGAUAUAUAACUAACAAGAUUUCAUCAUUUUUAUAUUAAUAUUGAUAUUUUAGCAAAUAAUGUUAUGGUAUAUAUAAAUAGUGAGAUGUGAUUUUAUACUCUACGUACAAUGAGCAUACUUUUGUGUGAUGUAUGGCUAGAAAAUAGUGGACACUUAUAUUAUUGAGAUUUCAAUAUUUAAUUACGAGCACGUACGAUGUUUAAUUUAUUUUAACUAGGAUAACAUCAUCCACUCGAUUUUGUACUUUGGCAUCAUUAUAAUGUUCCAUGAGGAUAAUCCUUAUCUCUAUAACUGCUUCUCACGUGUUCUUGAUUAAUUAUUCUUAGUUGUUAGUGUGGAUUUUGACUCUUUAUUAACAACAUUGAUCGAAUAAGGACUAAGAACACAAUGUUAUUGCUAGCAUGUGGUCACCAAACUCCAAUUAUUUAAUCUGCUUUAUCUCUUCAACAUCCUUAACGCAUGCAAACUUUGGUUAAUAAAGUAGCCUCCUAAAUCCAAAAAUAUGCAAUUAUUCUUAUUAUAUUGCACUUUCAAGAAAGAAAUUAAUAAACAAAAGACGAAAAGUUAAUUAGCACAUGAAACUUAAUAAUAAACGAAAAGUAAGAGGUCUUUACACAAUUCACACUCACACACAAAGUAGUUGCGAACGUAAUUAACAAACGUGUGUAACUUAGCAAUCAUGUGUGUAUGAGAAGACUAGUAGAUAAGGUGGUUAAAGACUUGAAGUGUCCUAUGCAUGGAGUGGCAGCUUCAUGUGGAGGGAUGGUUUAUAAAUUAUAUAUAAGUUGGUGAGCAAGUAUGAGACAUUUGUUAUGUACAUAACUAAUUCUUUUAAGUUUCUAUGUUCUUGUUGUGAGUUAGGGGAAUGAUGGUGUAUGUAAUUGGGGAUUUUGAUUAUACUUGGGUUUGGGAGGUGUGGGGAUCUGAUAUAUUUUGAUAUAUACAGUUAGAAUCAGAUGUGGAGUCAAAUUUUUAAUCUAAAGGUCUAUUAUUGUUUGCUAAAUUUACUCGCCAUAUCUUUUAUCACUUGAUUUCCACUCGAUUUUUUGUCAAGAAUAAAAGUAUGUGUAUUUUCCUCCUCACAACAAUUCUUGAUUUUUAUUUUUCCCUCUAUAAUGAAAAUUCGCAGCAAUCCAAUUUAAAGGGGUUUCUAUUCUACGAAAACCAUAAGUUAAUUAACAACUGUUCAAUCAUGGAUUCAGGGUUAAACACCUAAAAUUCAAUCGAUAGAAGCAAACUCAUCCAAUCCAAAAUACUCUAUGUUAACUGCCGUCAUCUACAAUUGGGGUCUUUAUCACAAAUUUUGCAUAAGUUCUUAAAUGUAUACGAAAAAUUAACCAAGAUGGAAAGGAGAUACAUACAAAAAUAAUAUCAAAGGGUGUGUGGGGAUAAUUAAUCUACAAAUUUUUCGGAAGAAAACGAGGAGUAUCAUGACUAAGGGUGUAAGCGGUUUGGAUAAAACCAAUGAAUUUGAAAGUUCAAGCUAAGAAAGUAUCCGAUCUUGUCUUGUUCGGUUCAAAACUGAAUCAAUCCAAUCUAAAUUGUACUUCUUUGGUUCGGUUCUCGAUUUUUUAUUUAAACUCCAAGGAACCGUUGGACCGAACCGAUGCUAACCUCACUCUCCAUUUUUGAAAUAUUAUCCCUCCUCACACACACACACACUUAUGAUUAGGCUCAAAAUUAAAGUCCAACAUAAACUACUCUUUAAUCCAUUCACCUACUUCAAUCAUCAUCUCAUCUCAUCACUCAAACUCUAUUUUAUUUCUUCUAAAAAAGAAACCCUAGUCAUUAACCACACCUAACCCAGCGUUUUUCACCACUGCAGUGAUCGUCCAUCUGUUGGUUGGUUUUAUCAUAUUUAUGUCUUCAAACUUUUCAAAAGAUAUUGUAUCGUGAAGCAAAUAGGUGCGCUGAUACGUUAGCUAAUAUUGGAUGUAUCAUGGGAAAUGAGAUGAUGUUUUAUGAGUCGUGUCCGACUCAAAUUAACUAUUUGUUAACUGCUGAUCAAGCGGGGGUUACUUUUCCGCGCUUGAUUAAGAUGUAAUUUCUUUUUCCGGGCUUCGGUCCUCCCAUUCAUAAAAAAAAAAGAUAUCUUUUCUAUGAUACCAUUGGUUUUUUUUUUUACAGAAUUAUAUACUCCCUCCGUUCCAUUUUAAUUGAGUCAUUGACUCAUUUCACACUUAUUAAGAAAAAAUGUAUAAGUGAAAGAGAGAGAAAAAUGGUUUUGAGUGCCCUUAUCAACUAUUGGUGCAUUCUUUUUUGUCAUAAAUGCAAAGUAGAAUAUAUUGAAUUGUGAGUGGUGAAAGUAUUAUUAAUUAGUGUUAUAAUUGAAAAAAAGUACUCCCUCCGUCCCUUAAUAAAUGACACAGUUGAUUCCAUUACGCAUUCUAAUGCAUAAUUUUGAGCUUAAAUAUCUUGAAUAAUAUGUUAGAAAAAAUUAUGAAAAUUUGAUAUUUUGAAAAUACUCAUCAAGACGAAUCUAAUGACAUCUUAUACUUAUCUAUGUAUAUUAGUAGAAAAAUAUGGUCAAAGUAAGCUAGGUCAAACUUGCAAAUUUUCAAAUAGGUCAUCUAUUGCGGGAGGGAGGGAGUAAUUAAUAUUGUAUUGGAAAGUGAAAUGAGUCAAUUUUUAUGGGACAAUAUUUUUUUUUGCAAAUGGUUCAGAUUAUAGGACAGAUGGAGUACCAUUGUUUAAUGAAGACUAGAAUUAAUGUGACGAAUGAUUAAGCUAGCAAAUCCUCCAAUGCUCGCUAUAUGAUAAUUUGCACCUUUUUCCUAUAAAUGUUUCGCUAUUCCAACGAUAGAUUAACAAAUUAGUUCUAAUCAAUCUCUUGAAUAAGAACUCUCUUCUAAAAUCUCAAUCCCUUAAUCUCUUAGGCAAAAUCGAAAUUGUUGGAGGUUUUAAUGAUUUAUUAAUCUCUGAAUCAUAGCUUAAAAAUUGUUUAUCUCUACCUUAAUUAGUUAAAUUAAUCAGAUUACCUAGGUUAGAUUCAAACCCUAGGGCUAGUAUCAUUCAAAUUCUAUGAUCAAUUCAUAAAUUCAAGAUGCUAGGGUUAGUAGUCACUAGUCAGUCAUAAACAUAUAAAAAGCAUUAAACUCAAGAUAAACAAAAUAAGACUAGAUCUUCAAUGAUAAUCAAGAGAGUUCAUGCAAAGUACAAGGCCAUAUAGCUUUCAAAAGAUUCAUCUUGACUUAAUCACAAGAAAUUUAGUUACUUAUAGCUAAAGUAUAAACAAGUAAUUCAAAACAAGGAUUCAUUACAUGGAUUGGAGGGGUGACUAUGAGUUUUGAUGGUCUUUCGCCUAUUCUCCAGCUUUCUAUUCCAAAAACGUCAUUUUCUCCUUCAAAUUUCAAACCCUUGUCUUAGAAACACGUUUGCCUUUUAUAGAUUUUAAUUUUUCCUCACAAAAUCAUGUCCCAAUGCUUCCUAAUCAUGCCCCGAGUAUUGUUGAAUGAAAAGGCUCUUUCUAGACUUGAAAACAUGGCCCGAUUUAGUGAAAUUGUGGCUCGAUUUGUAAUUUCUUGUUGCUCUUUGAUUUCUAUCAAUUUCAGCUCUAGAGACUCCAAUAUUACACUAAAAUCGACGAAAAAUACAUAAAGAUCAACUAAUUUUUUUAUGGUGGUUGAGGUUCGAACCUGGACCUUGCAUAUAUCUUGGAUAUAACAAAACCAAGAUGACAUAGUGUCAUGAAUCACCAUAAUAUGAAGAUCAAAGUGAUUAUUUUUGAUUUUAUUGAGACGUUUUAGGUCGACUGAAUAAUAUGAAGAUGAAAGUGAAUAAAAUAUGACAAAAACCUAAAGACAAUCCACGUGUUAAAGCAGAUAUGCGUAUCAUCGAUUAUUCAUACAGAUUCUACGCAGUAUUUGGCCCCACACCAUAUUCCUUGAUUUCAUCAUCAUCGAUUUGUUUACAUAAUAAAAUCAAAAUUAAGCUUAACAACUAAGUAUCCAUCUUCUUCUCCCGAAUCAGAAAAAUGGAGUUCCCCUUCAAUCACAACACCUCCAACGUAACCCACACUCAUCACCACCGUCGUGACGACGACAACAACGAACAACAUUAUCCACCACCUGGUCACAACAAUUUAUCUUCCUUCAACCAACCACCACCACCACCACAUCAUCAACAACCACCUUUCUACCCUAACCCAUCAUACCCACCACCACCACAACAACAACCACAUCAACCCGAAACUCAAGUCUUCCACACCGGGCACGUGUCCCGUAAUGACAAUUUCAACAAUUACCCUCAACAACCACAACCUCACCAAGAAACUCAAGUGUUCCACACUGGACACGUGUCCCAUGAAAACUUCAACAGUUACCCUCAACCACCACCACCUCAAUCUCAUCAUCAACAACCCAGCUACGGCGCUGCGUACCCACCUGCACCACCAUCCGUACCGGAUCACACCUCCGCCCCAUUCCCAAACGCAACUGUUCACCAUGUUUCUCAUGAAACCCAUAACCCUCAUUUUCCUUCUUCCAACG